UUGACAAGAACAGAGCAGCACACAGAGAAACCAGCUUGAACGCAUCUCUGCCCACAGUGCUUAAAUCAAGAAAGAAAAAUAAUCAAAAGUGGUUCUGAGGCCCUGGAAAGUUAGAGUUGCAUCCUAGAUUGCUUCUUGUUAGAGAGCAGAGACCAGCAGAAGCCAGGAGUCUGAGAAGAUAUUUGUCUUUGCCCAGUGGCUGUUUGAACAGCCUCUGGACUUGGUGCAGAGGGAAUAUCCAAGCUCACCGAUGUCUAGAAUCACAACCUGAGACCGUAUCACAGCUGAUAAGAGACAAUGGAAACAGAAGAAGGUGCCGAGGAAGGCAGAAGCAGCUCUGUCUUAGCCUGAGAAUGCGCGCUACAGACUGAAGAUAAGCAGGCUGCAAGGAGACCAGUUGACAGGUCAAACAGCAGGAAGGAAGGGCCUUUAGAUGAACAGCCAACUCCAUCUUACCCUAGACUGCAAGGCUCUAUCGUAUUGACUCAGGGAGCAAAAUGGUUUCCCUGUGUGCCGGAGUCUGUUUAUUCAGUCAGGCCAAAUAAGCAAGUGUGUUUGUGUAUGGCAAGUAUGCAGCAAGCUAGCAAGGUU
This is a long non-coding RNA of Mus musculus (house mouse), 591 nucleotides long. RefSeq annotates it as predicted gene, 34501. The record is from RefSeq and is a predicted model, not a curated record. The transcript has 3 exons. NCBI's taxonomy places the organism in Eukaryota, Metazoa, Chordata, Mammalia, Rodentia, Muridae.